CUCUUUUCUAAACUAUUUGUUUUUUUAAUCUCAAACAAAGGGUGCUCAUGUAUGAAGAUUGCGAAUAGUUCAAGACUUAUUCUAAAUUGGAUUAGUCUACAAGUAUAAAAUCAAUUACUAAAAGUUUGACAGACUCCCUAUUAGUAGGGCGGCUGGCCCCACCACCACUCCACCAACAGAGGGCCACCACUUGUCAAGUUUGUCAUUGAUUUUGUACAUAUAGAAUAAUCCUUCUAAAUUUAUCCAAAUUUAUGUCAGUGCUCUGGACUUUCACAAAAAUAUAUGUCAAUUCAAUAUGCAAUAAAUCGAGUUCGAAAUAAACUUAGCUUCUGAUAAUUACACAUACUUGGAUCACAUGAUGAACUAAUAGUGAUUUCUAAUUUGAACGGUUUUUUUCAUCGAUGACUAGUUAUCUGACCUAUAUAAUAUUUAUUAGAUUUUUUUUUUGGUCAAAUAUCGUAAAUCAACUUACCAGUUGAAUAAUAGGUUAAAAAUCAAUGCUAUAGUUUUUUACAUUAAAACGUCAAGUCAAACGUAACGUUUGUCUGAGAAAGGAUAUGGUACGUGGUGGGCUAUGAGUCAAUGAUUUCAUUAAACCAGAUUAAUUGAUCCUAAAUUUAAGGUUAAAAAGUAAAUAAAAAACAUGGUUAGAUGUUGAUUAGCCAUUAUUGGACCUAUAUAAAAGCG
RNAcentral lists this long non-coding RNA (687 nucleotides) under Olea europaea subsp. europaea. The record is from RNAcentral. Lineage: Eukaryota; Viridiplantae; Streptophyta; Magnoliopsida; Lamiales; Oleaceae.